Carassius auratus (goldfish) is the source of this 1656-nucleotide long non-coding RNA. The record is from Ensembl. NCBI's taxonomy places the organism in Eukaryota, Metazoa, Chordata, Actinopteri, Cypriniformes, Cyprinidae.
AUGAUACAACCCUUUUUUUUUUUAAAUAGUGAUCAAAUUCCAAUUGCAAUUAAUGUUAUUAACAAAUUUUCUUAUGCCUCUGGUCUCUAUCUCGAUGUCAGUAAGUGUGAGCUAAUGGCUGUUAAAGACUGUGAUUUAACAAGUAUUAGUAACAUUCCUGUCAAGGAGAGUGUUACAUACUUGGGUAUCAUUAUUGUUAAAGACCAACUUAAAAGAUGUUCUUUGAAUUUCAACCCCAUAAUAGACAAAACCAAAAAAAAAUUUAAUUUCUGGCUUCAAAGAGAUCUCUCCUUAAAGGGACGAGUUCUUCUUACUAAAGCUGAAGGUAUAGCCCGACUAACAUAUGCAUCCUUAUCUUUGUAUCUUGAUAACCUUACUAGUAAAAAUAUUGAUAAAAUACUAUUUGAUUUCUUAUGGAAAAAUCGCACACACUAUGUAAAAAAGACUGUAAUUAUGAACUCAUAUGAGAAUGGUGGCCUUAAUUUUCUAGAUUUCACCACAAUGAACCAUACCUUUAAGAUUAAUUGGAUUAAGCAUCACUUAAAAAACCCCACUUCUGUUUGGAAUUUUAUCCCUCAUUAUGCUUUUUCAAAUAUUAGUGGUCUUAGUUUUGUUUUGUUGUGUAAUUAUAAUGUAGAUAAAAUUCCAGCUAAGUUAUCUGCUUUCCACAAACAAGUGCUUUUAUCUUGGUCGUUAAUAUACAAGCACAAUUUUUCUCCGCAUCGCUGUUUCAUCUGGAAUGACAGAAACAUUCUUUAUAAACACAAAUCUCUUUUUUUAAAGAACUGGUUUGAAAACGAUAUUAAAUUGAUUAGUCAGUUAUAUAAUAAAGAAGGAACACUCUUUUCUUAUGACGAAUUCCUUUCUUAUUAUAAAAUACCAGUCACUCAAAAAGAAUUUGCAAUCGUUUUUGGUUCAAUCCCUUCUGGUACACAAAUGCUAUUUAGAGGUAUAGAUAAAGACCAUUCUCCUGGUUCAGUAUCUUUUGAUGUUACUAAAUCUUAUGUUGGUAAAAUUUGUUUUUCAUCAUACCCCAAGAGUAAUAAUAGAGCUAUUCGUACUCUUUUCCAAAAAGAAAUUUUUACUGUGCCUUAUAUCUUGUCUCGCUGGGCCUCCUCAUUAAAUGGAAAUUUUAUUUGCUGGAGGAAAGUGUGGUUAUUACCACAAAAAUAUCAUCUUAGAAAUAAAAUUAAAGAAGUUUCUUAUAAACUUAUUCAUAGAUUUUAUCCAGCAAGUCAUUACUUACAAAAAUUUAAAAAAGGUAUAAAUAUAAAUUAUACUUUUUGUAAUGAAUAUGAGGAAACUGCCAUGCACUUAUUUUGGAACUGUGCAUAUUCAGUUACACUAUGGGGUAAGGUCCAAGAGUUUAUUAGGGAGAAUAUUCAGUGUUUAAAACAUUUUUCACUGUUAUGGGAAAAUAUACUUUUUGGUUUAACUGACUAUCCUGAUGAUAAAGAACAGUGCUUUUAUUUAAUUAAUUUAUUUAUUCUGUUGACCAAAUUUCACAUUCAUAAAUGUAAAUUUAGCAAUAAAAAACCCAAUUUUAUGGUUUUGUUAACUGAAAUAUGUAUUUAUAUUGACAGUAUCAGAGACUCUGUGAACAAAAAAGCUGUAAGAACUUUGAAAAUUUGUACAUUUUACAAUUUGUUUAUUUGA